GUUGAGAACCAUCAGAAGUAGAUGGACAGAGGACUCAGGAAGUGGAAACAUCUGGUUGACUUUCUUGCUCUGAAAAUACCAUCAAGAUGUCUCAGUCCAUUGAGGAGAAAAGUAUUAUACUCUUCUGAGCAACAAGUGCCUUUUGCUGAACAGAGGGUCUUUUCUUCAUUCCAAGUUCAUAGGACAAUAAAGCUACAAAGAACAAUCUGGAUUUCUUUGUGAAAGCAAUGCAAGAUACAGAGGAAAGAAUUUACAGCGAUUUUACACUC
Chiroxiphia lanceolata (lance-tailed manakin) is the source of this 269-nucleotide long non-coding RNA. RefSeq lists it as uncharacterized. The record is from RefSeq and is a predicted model, not a curated record. The transcript has 2 exons. NCBI's taxonomy places the organism in Eukaryota, Metazoa, Chordata, Aves, Passeriformes, Pipridae.